This 906-nucleotide ribosomal RNA is filed under the name Pseudomonodictys tectonae. RNAcentral describes it as "eukaryotic LSU rRNA". It matches the Rfam family "Eukaryotic large subunit ribosomal RNA", at positions 22 to 940 of the family's 3401-position model. The record is from RNAcentral. Lineage: Eukaryota; Fungi; Ascomycota; Dothideomycetes; Pleosporales; Parabambusicolaceae.
UGUACCCGCUGACUUAAGCAUAUCAAUAAGCGGAGGAAAAGAAACCAACAGGGAUUGCCUCAGUAACGGCGAGUGAAGCGGCAACAGCUCAAAUUUGAAAUCUGGCGCCCUCUGGGCGUCCGAGUUGUAAUUUGAAGAGGGUGCUUUGGCGUUGACGGCGGUCUAAGUCCCUUGGAACAGGGCAUCACAGAGGGUGAGAAUCCCGUAUGUGGCCGCCAGCCUUCGCCGUGUAAAGCCCCUUCGACGAGUCGAGUUGUUUGGGAAUGCAGCUCUAAAUGGGAGGUAAAUAUCUUCUAAAGCUAAAUACCGGCCAGAGACCGAUAGCGCACAAGUAGAGUGAUCGAAAGAUGAAAAGCACUUUGGAAAGAGAGUCAAACAGCACGUGAAAUUGUUGAAAGGGAAGCGCUUGCAGCCAGACUUGCUCGCAGUUGCUCAUCCGGGCUCUCGCCCGGUGCACUCUUCUGCGGGCAGGCCAGCAUCAGUUUGGGCAGCCGGAUAAAGACCUCUGUCACGUAUCUUCCUUCGGGAUGACCUUAUAGGGGAGGUGUAAUGCGGCUAGCCUGGACUGAGGUCCGCGCAUUUUGCUAGGAUGCUGGCGUAAUGGCUGUAAGCGGCCCGUCUUGAAACACGGACCAAGGAGUCUAACAUCUAUGCGAGUGUUUGGGUGUCAAGCCCGGGCGCGCAAUGAAAGUGAACGGAGGUGGGAGCCCUCUCGGGGGCGCACCAUCGACCGAUCCUGAUGUCUUCGGAUGGAUUUGAGUAAGAGCAUAGCUGUUGGGACCCGAAAGAUGGUGAACUAUGCUUGAAUAGGGUGAAGCCAGAGGAAACUCUGGUGGAGGCUCGCAGCGGUUCUGACGUGCAAAUCGAUCGUCAAAUUUGGGCAUAGGGGCGAAAGACUAAUCGAAC